Struthio camelus australis is the source of this 992-nucleotide long non-coding RNA. NCBI's taxonomy places the organism in Eukaryota, Metazoa, Chordata, Aves, Struthioniformes, Struthionidae. The record is from Ensembl.
UUUUCUUUUGUUCAUAUCUUUUGCUUAGUUUACAUCUUGGGUUUGUUGGCAUUGAUUCACCAGCACUUAUUAGGGCAUUGCAAAACACCAGCGACAGAAAGAAACCAAACCACAAAUCCCUCAGAACAAAUUCCCGGCGCAGAGCCCCGUUGCAGACUUGCAGACCCAGCCUCACAGGGGAGCCCCCGGCGAUGUGGAAGGCUCUUCCAGGAGAUUUGGAGACAAGUGCUGAAACUGCUCCACCACUCUCGAACUCUGGUAUUUCUGACUGUGUUCUUCUGCUGACUGAGGGUGGUGCUGAAGACUUUAAUAGUGAACUCUUGCUUUUUAAAGAACAGUCAGUCCCAAAUUACCUGGUAUCUUCUCUUCAAUAUAUCCCGUUCUAUAGGACAUCUGAAGUCUUCAUCAGCCCUCACUCCCUUAUCGCAUCGAACAUCAGCACAGAAACAGAAGAAAGCUUUGAUGAUAGCCAAGUUAACGCUAAACAAGAUGAGAACUUGAACAAUUCAGCUCUCUCCACAGGAUAUUUUCCAUAUUACAGAUCGUAUGAAGAGCCACUUGGCAAGCCACUUGCAUAUAACUUAAAUGUGAAUGCAGAGGGAAAACAGCCUGGCACCAACAGGAAAGACAGAAGGCAAGGCAGAUGUGCCCAGGCUGUUAGAAAUGUUGAGAAAACCGUUCCACCAAGUUUGGAGCCAGACAAGAGGGUAGUUUCCUCCAAUGCUGAGCCAUCUGCCCACCCACUGCUACUGGAGAGCAUCUCAGAAAACUGCGCUUCAAAGACCGCCUUUCUCAAUGAACUGCCAAGCCUAGGUCAGCCCUUUUCUUCCACUGGGUACUUUCCCUAUUACAGGACAUGUGGAGACCUCCACACCAGUCCAGCUCCUUGUGAUAGGUUCUUCACCAGGAUAGAAAUUUUGGGGGAUGAAGAGGGAGGAGGAGAGGGAGAAACAAGUGUUUGGAAUUUCAAUACCAGCUGCUCAGCAUGCUGA